GGCUACUGCUAUUGGGAUUCGACUAAGCCAUGCGAGUCAAGGUGUCUUCGGACGCCGGCGUACGGCUCAGUAACACGUAGGUAACCUACCCUCAGGACUGAGAUAACCCCGGGAAACUGGGGCUAAUAUUAGAUAGAUAAAAGGUACUGGAAUGUUCUUUUAUCCAAAGCUUUUGCGCCUGAGGAUGGGCCUGCGUCCGAUUAGGUUGUUGGUGGGGUAAUGGCCCAC
Molecule: ribosomal RNA, 228 nt
Filed under: uncultured archaeon
Lineage: Archaea
Description: partial 16S ribosomal RNA
Rfam family: Archaeal small subunit ribosomal RNA
Source: RNAcentral